GUGAAAUUGUUGAAAGGGAAGCGCUUGCAACCAGACCUGCCUGCAGUUGCUCAUCCGGGCUUUUGCCCGGUGCACUCUUCUGCUGUCAGGCCAGCAUCGGUUCGGGCGGUCGGAUAAAGGCUUCGGGAAUGUAGCUCCUCUCGAGGAGUGUUAUAGCCCGUUGCGAAAUGCGGCCAGCCUGAACUGAGGUCCGCGCUUCGGCUAGGAUGCUGGCGUAAUGGUUGUAAGCGGCCCGUCUUGAAACACGGACCAAGGAGUCUAACAUCUGUGCGAGUGUUUGGGUGUCAAACCCGUACGCGUAAUGAAAGUGAACGGAGGCGGGAACCCCUCGGGGUGCACCGUCGACCGAUCCUGAUGUCUUCGGAUGGAUUUGAGUAAGAGCAUAGCUGUUGGGACCCGAAAGAUGGUGAACUAUGCCUGAAUAGGGUGAAGCCAGAGGAAACUCUGGUGGAGGCUCGCAGCGGUUCUGACGUGCAAAUCGAUCGUCAAAUUUGGGCAUAGGGGCGAAAGACUAAUCGAACUAUCUAGUAGCUGGUUCCUGCCGAAGUUUCCCUCAGGAUAGCAGUAACGUUUUCAGUUUUAUGAGGUAAAGCGAAUGAUUAGAGGCCUGGGGGUUGAAACAACCUUCACCUAUUCUCAAACUUUAAAUAUGUAAGAAGUCCUUGUUACUUAGUUGAACGUGGACAUUUGAAUGUAUCGUUACUAGUGGGCCAUUUUUGGUAAGCAGAACUGGCGAUGCGGGAUGAACCGAACGCGGAGUUAAGGUGCCGGAAUGCACGCUCAUCAGACACCACAAAAGGUGUUGGUUCAUCUAG
This 815-nucleotide ribosomal RNA is filed under the name uncultured Ascomycota. RNAcentral's name for it is "LSU rRNA". It matches the Rfam family "Eukaryotic large subunit ribosomal RNA", at positions 399 to 1236 of the family's 3401-position model. Lineage: Eukaryota; Fungi; Ascomycota. The record is from RNAcentral.